RNAcentral lists this ribosomal RNA (796 nucleotides) under uncultured bacterium. RNAcentral describes it as "bacterial SSU rRNA". It matches the Rfam family "Bacterial small subunit ribosomal RNA", at positions 32 to 825 of the family's 1533-position model. The record is from RNAcentral.
UACCCCUGCGUCUAAUUACACAUGCAGUCUGAACGGUAGAGUAGCAUACUCGAGAGUGGCGAACGGGUGAGUAAUAUAUCGGAACGUGCCCAACUGUGGGGGAUAACGUAGAGAAAUUUACGCUAAUACCGCAUACGAUCUAAGGAUGAAAGCGGGGGAUCGCAAGACCUCGCGCAGUUGGAGCGGCUGAUAUCAGAUUAGCUUGUUGGUGAGGUAAAAGCUCACCAAGGCGACGAUCUGUAGCUGGUUUGAGAGAACGACCAGCCACACUGGGACUGAGACACGGCCCAGACUCCUACGGGAGGCAGCAGUGGGGAAUUUUGGACAAUGGGCGAAAGCCUGAUCCAGCAAUGCCGCGUGCAGGAAGAAGGCCUUCGGGUUGUAAACUGCUUUUGUACGGAACGAAACGGUCCUUUUUAAUACAGAGGGCUAAUGACGGUACCGUAAGAAUAAGCACCGGCUAACUACGUGCCAGCAGCCGCGGUAAUACGUAGGGUGCGAGCGUUAAUCGGAAUUACUGGGCGUAAAGCGUGCGCAGGCGGUUAUAUAAGACAGUUGUGAAAUCCCCGGGCUCAACCUGGGAAUUGCAUCUGUGACUGUAUAGCUAGAGUACGGUAGAGGGGGAUGGAAUUCCGCGUGUAGCAGUGAAAUGCGUAGAUUAUGCGGAGGAACACCGAUGGCGAAGGCAAUCCCCCUGGACCUGUAACUGACGCUCAUGCACGAAAGCGUUGGGGAGCAAAACCCAGGAUUAGAUACCUGGUAGUUCCACGGCCUAAACCGAAUGUCACACUGGUAG